CACAAAAAAUAUGAAGGCUGCACGCGGCUGCGUCUCCGGACCAGUUGCUGAGGCUGAACUAUUUUUCACCCAUGUCUUUUGCGCACUUGUUGUUUCCUGGGCGGGUUCGCUCGCCACCAGGACCACACCAUAAACCUUUUUUAUGCAGUUGCAAUCAGCGUCAGUAUAACAAAUGUAAAUCAUUUA
RNAcentral lists this unclassified non-coding RNA (186 nucleotides) under uncultured fungus. RNAcentral's name for it is "sequence contains ITS1, 5.8S rRNA gene". RNAcentral also lists the same sequence under 1 other name. The record is from RNAcentral. Lineage: Eukaryota; Fungi.